RNAcentral lists this long non-coding RNA (133 nucleotides) under Cyanistes caeruleus (blue tit). RNAcentral describes it as "lncRNA (ENSCCEG00000009833.1)". The record is from RNAcentral. Lineage: Eukaryota; Metazoa; Chordata; Aves; Passeriformes; Paridae.
CCAGCAGAACAUUCUUGUGGCACAUGCUUCAGUUUUGUGAAAUGAUUGGUUUUGUUUGCUUUGGGUUGGAUUGGUGAUUACAACAUUCCACUGUUCUGAGCUGCAAAAGCUGGUCAAAUUGCUUGUAACUACA